This 72-nucleotide transfer RNA is filed under the name Bos taurus (domestic cattle). It matches the Rfam family "tRNA". From Rfam's summary of the family: Transfer RNA (tRNA) molecules are approximately 80 nucleotides in length. Their secondary structure includes four short double-helical elements and three loops (D, anti-codon, and T loops). RNAcentral also lists the same sequence under 5 other names. Lineage: Eukaryota; Metazoa; Chordata; Mammalia; Artiodactyla; Bovidae. The record is from Rfam by way of RNAcentral.
UCCCUGGUGACUCAGUGGUAAAGAAUCUGCCUUCCAAUGCAGGAGACUCAGGCUCAACCCCUGGUCUGGGAA